Molecule: ribosomal RNA, 467 nt
Filed under: uncultured bacterium
Lineage: Bacteria
Description: bacterial SSU rRNA
Rfam family: Bacterial small subunit ribosomal RNA
Source: RNAcentral
GACGAACGCUGGCGGCGUGCCUAACACAUGCAAGUCGAACGGAGAUGUUGAUUUCGGUUGACGUCUUAGUGGCGAACGGGUGAGUAACGCGUGAACAAUCUGACCUUAAGAGGGGGAUAACAACGAGAAAUCGUUGCUAAUACCGCAUAAGACCACAAUGCCGCAUGGCGAAGGGGUCAAAGGAGCAAUCCGCUUAAGGAGGGGUUCGCGUCCCAUUAGGUAGUAGGUGAGGUAACGGCUCACCUAGCCGACGAUGGGUAGCCGAGCUGAGAGGCUGAUCGGCCACACUGGAACUGAGACACGGUCCAGACUCCUACGGGAGGCAGCAGUGGGGAAUAUUGGGCAAUGGGCGCAAGCCUGACCCAGCAACGCCGCGUGAGGGAAGAAGGUUUUCGGAUUGUAAACCUCUGUCGCAGAUGACGAAACAAAUGACGGUAAUCUGUGAGGAAGCCCCGGCUAACUACGUG